Molecule: long non-coding RNA, 12092 nt
Filed under: Solanum lycopersicum (tomato)
Lineage: Eukaryota; Viridiplantae; Streptophyta; Magnoliopsida; Solanales; Solanaceae
Description: long non-coding RNA (SLYC_LNC000021)
Source: RNAcentral
CUUGGGAGGGGAUACCUGUUCUUUAUUGUUACUUUGUUCAGCUGCCUAUAAUCAAUGCACAUCCGCAGCGACCCAUCCUUCUUCCUCACAAACAGUACCGGUGCUCCCCAAGGUGAUGUACUAGGCCAGAUGAAGCCCUUUUCUAGCAAAUCUUUCAAUUGCUCUUUCAAUUCUUUCAACUCAGCAGGUGCCAUUCUAUAAGGAGGUAUAGAUAUAGGCUGGGUAUCUGGCAGUACAUCUAUAGUAAACUCUAUCUCCUGUUUUGGAGGAAGGCCUGGAAGUUCCUCGGGGAAUACAUCAGGAAAUUCAUUAACUACCGGGACUGAUUGAAGAGUCGGUGCCUCUGCCUUUAUGUCAUGCACCCGAAUCAGAUGGUAAAUAUAGCCUUUUCUAACCAUCUUCCAGGCCUUGAGGUAUGAAAUGAACUUACCUUUCGGCGAUACUGUACUUCCCUUCCACUCUAUAAUUGGCUCCCGUGGAAAUUGAAAUCGAACUAUCUUUCCUCUGCAAUCAACAUUAGCAUAACAAGCAGCCAACCAAUCCAUGCCCAUGAUAAUAUCAAACUCAAUCAUAUUUAACUUUAUUAGAUCUGCUACGGUACGACGACUAUAUAUAACUACUGAACAAUUCCUAUAUACUCGCGUAGCUAUGACAAAAUCUCCUACAGGUGUAGCUACCUCAAAUGGUUCUAUCAACUCAGACUCUAUUCCGAUCCUACUAGCAACAAAGGGAGAUAUAUAUAUGAUAAGGUGGAACCUGGGUCUAUCAAUGCAUACACACUUCGGGAGAAUAGUGAUAAUAUACCUCUGAUCACAUUAGGUGACGCCUCCUGAUCUUGCCUAUUAGUCAAAGCAUAUAUACGGUUUGAGGGACCGCUAGAACUGGAAGCUCCACCACGUCCUCAACCACGGCCUGCUGGCGCCUGAAUACCCUGCCCCGUAGGGCGCAUAGCCACAGAAGAAGAUGAACCAGCAACGGACCCUGUAGGCUGUGCCAUACCACCUGCACUACCUCUAAGGUGACACUCCCUCAUAGUAUUGCCCUGACGGCCACAAGAAAAACACGCACCUGUAGCCCAACGACAUUCCCCAGGAUGGGACUUACCACAACGAGAACACCGAGGCAAAGGUGGUCUCGACUGGCUCAAACCCCUGCCCAUCUGUGACCCUGACGCCCUAGAGCUCUGACCAGCUUUCGAAUAUCCCAUACGAUCGAACCCCCUACCCAUGAAACGUGGGGGUGCACUCUGUGCUGGCUGGGAAGAAAAUCUAACAUGCUGCUGAGACUGCCCGCUUUGAAACUCGUCAGGAUAACCUGCUGAUCUAGCCCUCUUAUGCUGGCCUCUAUUAUAAUCUCUAUCUGGCUGACGUCCCCGGUGUCGAUCCUCUACACCCUGUGCAUAUGCCUGCACCCGAGCAAUGUCCAUACCUUGCUGAAGAGUCACUGCCAUACAACCGUCAAUCAGAUAACGAUCCAAUCCCAUCACAUAACGAUGUACCCUGUCUGCCAUAUCAGCCACAAUAAUAGGCGCAUGCCUAGCCAAUGAAUCAAACUCGAGGCUAUACUCUCGAACGCUCCUGCCAUUUUGCUUCAAACGCAAGAAUCUAUCGACUCUAGCUCGCUUCAUCUCUGGAGGCAGGAAGUGGCCCUGGAAAGCCUCCACAAAUUCAUCCCAUACCGCUGGAGGAGCACCCUCACCCCUAGAUAACUCCCAAGACUCAUACCAAUUAAUAGCUACAUCCCGCAAAUGAUACGUAGCCAACUCAACAGACUCGGUCUCCGAAGCCUUGAUUAUCCUCAAUGUACGCUGCAUCUGACGAAUAAACUCUUGCGGAUCAUCCUGGGCCUUGACCCAAAGAACUCUGGAGGAUUACAACUUAAGAAGUCACGACCCUUAAGCUAUCAGAUCUGUCCGCAUGAUCAACUCCUAGUCCAUGCCUGCGAGCCUGAUCUGCCACUAAUCUAGUCAGCAAUUGAACCGUAUCUCUCAUGGCCCUAUCCUCCACCCCUGACUGAGGAGCUGGAGGUUUAGAUGUUGGGGCCUCGGGGGCUGGUGGUGUCCCCCGAACUGGAGCUGCUGCUGCUCUAAGCUCUUCUAGCGGUGGGGGUGUAGCAGAGCUCUCCGACUAGAGCAUAAUACCAGGCAUAGACUGGGCACGGGCCCUAGUAACUCUCCGGGUCUGACUAGUACCUUCUGCUAUCGAUUUUCCCUUCUGGGCAGCUGUGACUUUCUUUGGAGGCAUAGCUGAAAACACACGCAUUCGUUAGAGAGGGAUUAUCCUGUUAAUAUAGCUCUAUCGCACGAUCUAGAAUAAGAAGAAAGAAUGACAUUCUAAAUGUCCUGUAGCUUCCUGUUUAUAGAUGUGGUGCACAACACACCGAUAAACAAGACUCUACUAGACACGGUCUGUAGACACUUCCGAGGAAGAACCGCUCUGAUACCACUCUUUGUCACAACCCAACCCGACGGGCCGUGACUAGUGCCCGUUUUGGACACCCACAUACAAACCUGCUAAGUAUAACCAACUGAAACUAAGAAAAUAUGGAAUUUAAUCAAAUCAAGCCAACCCCAACGUCAUAUAUAUAUAAGAGGACCUGUAUCAUAAGGAGUCAUAACCAUUCAACCAUAACAGCAUACGCGAGCUGACAAGGCUGCCACUACACAAUACACAAUGAUGUACGCAGCCGUCAAGGCUGCCCCUGUACAAGCGGACAUCCCAAACAAACCAUGUCCAGACCAUUAUCCAAAAUAUAUAUACACAACCCACAUAAUGUCCACAACCUCUAAGAGUACAUUAAUGAAACUCGACAGGACAGGGCCCCGCCAUACCCAUAGACGAGCAAAAGACUACACAAAAGUUAUGUACCAAAACGACUGGGCUCCGGAACAGUGGAGCUCUCCCAAUCAGCAGAGUAGAUAUCCUAGGCGAGAGGAUCACCGAACUGUGCGUCUACACCUGCGGGCAUGAAACGCAGCCCCCCGAGGAAAGGGGGGUCAGUACGGACAAUGUACUGAGUGUGUAAAGCAUAAGGUAAAGAUGACACGAUACCAAUAUGGCAAGUCGAAACAAAAUAUCGCUACACAUAUACCCUUUUAAGUGAAAAUCAUGCAUAUAUUUAACAUUUAAGGUGCCCAGCUUCCCCAGUAAGGGGCUCGGCAAAAUAAUCAUCACGUCAUCUCCGUCAUCAUCAUCAUCAUAACCAUCCUCAUCACCAAUCAUAUAUAUAAUAUACAUACCCGGCCCUCUAGUGAGGAACUCGGUGACACAUGCAAGAAACUCCGCACGAACAUUACCCGGCCCGGGACUCGGUGAAAUGAUAAAUGACUCUAUGCACGAGCAGAAUAUUAUGAGCAACCAUAUGCAAUUAAAAUCAUUUCUUAUAACUUAAUAGAACAAUCAACAUGAACCAGCAAGGAGUAUUACCAAAGAUUAAUGUUUUAUCAAGAUUAUGAACCUUUAAUACGAUAUGGAAACGUAAAUCUCAAUGACUCUAAGAAGCAUUACCAUAGAUAUUAGAGAUCAUCAUAGCCUUAGACAUAGCCGAUAUAUAGAGGAAUAAUUGUGGAACCAAGAAUAUACGUCACCUAGACGCUCUAGAGGUAAGUAUCAAAUCUGUCCGUUAUUCGCUUAUUUUUAAAAGUCAUGCCAAGCAAAGAAAGAAGGGACAGCGUUACAUACCGUAUAAUCGAGCCGCACGUCCAAUAUUUACUGCUCAAGCUAUUAAUCUAUAACAAGUAACAAUCGUGCCGCAAUUAGAUAAACAUCACGCUUUACUUUCUUGUAAGCUAGCUAAUAAUCUAACGAAAAUUCGGCAGCACCUCCCCUAUUUUCCUUACUUCGUCCCAAUCCGACAACAAUCCAAAUUAUCCACAGCAAUACCAAUAACACAUAUAACUCAAAGAAUCAUAUUAAACAGCCCCCUCCCCAAAACAGUUCCGUCUCGGCAACCAUAGCAGCGAAGCAACGACACACCGAGCGAUAACUCGUUUUAUAAUUCGCAACACAUCUACCUUAUCGUAUUCAUCCUUUGGAGUAUAUACUCAUAAUCACAUUCAACAUAUACAUAAUGCCAAAACAGAAUUUUCUUGCAGUUUGCUUUAAUCAAAACAGCCCAAGCACCAACACGACACCACUAAUAAUCCGAUUAUGGUUUCCAUUCAUACUUAGCACAUUCAAUAACUAAAACAAACUUCCUAAGCUACUGUUCACGCCCCCUUCUUAAAAUUAAUGGAUAAUUAACAAGGGUAUUCUAAAGAAUUAACACACCAAACAAGGAGAUUACUAACCAAAUUAUUUGCAGCUGCUGACCAAGAGUUGCAGGGUUGGUUUCUCCAUUUCCAUGGCUGCCUAAGACAAGUGGUGAAGAAGAAGAUGAUAUGCAGCAAUGCAUUUCACCACUUUAUUUAGCAUGGAGUGGAUUUCUCCACCUCAUUUAAUAGUAUUAAGUUGAGGCAGCCCCCCUCUACACCUGUCCACUAAGGCCAGCCCACAAUCUGAUCCCUUUUUAAUUUUUGCCUUGAGUGGUGGGGCCCACUAGAUUAAAUUAAUCCUAAUCAGACACCAAUUAUGAGUGGUGGGGACCAUUGGAUUAAAUCAAUCCAAAUUAGCCACUAAUUAAUCCCUCACUUAAAGUUAAUGUCACUUACAUUAGCCAACUCAUACUUAAUAUCACAUUUGGAAAUAACAUCCUUGCCUAAUAUUUCUUUACAUCUUCUAGAUCACGAUGUGCACUACGUAUAAAAAAAAUACGAGGCAUAACAAUGAGAGUUGUGUUCAGUUUAAUUAGGUUAGGGUCUUUAUAUAAGUCAUUAACUAACUUAGUUAGACAUCCCUUUACCCCUAACUAAUUAACAAACUAAUUAAUCAAUUUAACUAACUAACCUAAAAUGUGGCAGUAAAACAAUGACCUGACCUAUGAGACUCUAACCUACAGGUCAGCAUACGACCUUGGGAACAACCAUCUUGCAGGUUCAUCGUUAUGUCCAGAGAGUUUUCCACCUGGACCUUUGGCCAAAAUGCCUAAGUGUCUAACGAUGGUGGCAAUUGAGGCCCCGUCGAUUGGACUACACCUCAUCGAUGGGCAUCUUUGGUAGAGGCUGUCCAUUUGACAUUUUUUGCCAAAAUGCAAGAGUCCUCCUCAAGGACACUUCGGUUAGUACUUGGUGAGUCUUACCUAGACGUUUCGACUAUAAACCAACUCUAAUACGUGAUAUAAACCUUUUUACCAAAAUUUGAUCAGUUUCGACUCGUAAAACCUUAUCAAAUAGACUAAGGCACGCUAGUACCUCUUCGACUAGUUUUCGGACGUCAUGCAUCUUCCUUGACGCUUUGAUUCUAAAACUUCAUAAAUCACUACACCAUUUUAUGUCUACGGCAACACUAAAUCUGGACAAGGCUUAUAAAGUGUUGCCUAAAAUACUUUUGGGACCACUUUUAAAGUGUAGCCAAAGAUUUUGAUUUUUAGCUACUUUAAUUUAAGCAACACAUCUAAAGUGUACUCUUUAAUGGGAUAACCUACACUUUAUAAGUGUUAUUAUAGUUGGCAACAACUAUUUACAUGAACGGUCAUACUUUUAAAGUGUGUUAUUUUAAUAAUUGUAAAUACAACACAUUAAAAAUGUGGCCUUAGUGUUUUAACCAAAAUUUUAUAUUCCCUCAAACAUUUUAACAUUAAAAUUUUAUCUCCCUCCCAAUUUUAUUUGGCCAAAAAAAUAAAACACUAAAGAAAAAUUAAAAAGAAUAAAACAUUAAAGAAAUAAAAAAAUGCAACAUUUCCUAAAACAUCAGCUGAAGCUUCCAUUUUCAGCUGAAGAACACCAUUUGCCUGAACUGAAGAAGGAUCGAAGAACGGAAGAAAUCAGUUUGUACUAUGAUUUUUGUCACAUUUCUGUUAAACUUCAACUGAAGAACACCAUUUUCAGUUGACAAAAUGGAAGAGCACUGCGAUUUCUCUUAAUAUGAACUGAAGAAUAUGAUUUUCCUCUCAGCCUCGUUGUUCAAGAUUGGAGAGUUGAAGAAGAUGAUUUUCAUCAAUGAUUUCUGGUUAAACUGCUAUUCCAUCAGAUUUCCUUUUGAAAUUGAAAGAAAAUGCUUCACAAAUCAACUUGCCUCAUAUCUUAAAGCUUUAGGUUGUUGGAAUAGAGUUUAUCAGAUAGGAGAAUCUUACCUUAAAAAUUCUAAAUUAUAGCUUUAAGAUUUUGAUAUGCUUGUGUGUCAGUCAAAAAUUUAUGAUAGGAUUUUUAUGUUCUUGUGUUGUCGAUACGAAUUUAGUUGAUUUUGGGAGUUUAGUUUAUACUUGUAUUACGUAUAAAUGGGCAGAUUAUCUUUGACUCACUAGUUUUUGCUCUUGAAUGUUGAAUGUAGAAGCUGAAGCUAAGUCGCCUUUAUAUGAAGAACUGAGUUGUAGCUAAGUCUUCUUUCUUCGAUGAACUAAAUUGUUGAAGCUGGCGAUACCUACAAUAUUUUUUCCCUAAUAUAGAUUUCGUCAAGUGUAUGUAGCUACUCUACAUGAAUUUCAAAAGCUUAUAAUGUCUGUUUUAAUGUCACUAUUUUUUAGUCUUCUUGAGUUCAUAGUUAUGCUCACCUUAAGUUUGGUUUGUUCCUUUUUUAACCACAUUGAUUAUGUCUUGUACCUACUUUCUUGUAAUUUUUUUUCCGACGAUAGUCCUUGAAGUGUUUGAUGUCACGACCCAACCCGAUAGGCCGUGAUUAGUGCCCGUUUUGGACACCCACAUACAAACCUACUAAGUAUGACCAACUGAAACUAAGACAAUAUGGAAUUUAAUAAAAUCAAGCCAACCCCAACGUCAUAUAUAUAUAAGAGGACCUGUCUCAUAAGGAGUCAUAACCAUUCAAGCAUAACAGCAUACGCGAGCCGACAAGGCCGCCACUAUUCAAAGCAUAAUGAUGUACACAGCCGACAAGGCUGCACCUGUACAAGCGGACAUCCCAAACAAACCAUGUCCAGACCAUUAUCCAAAACAUAUAUAUACAACCCACAUAAUGUCCACAGACCUCUAAGGGUACAUUAGUGAAACUCGACGGGACAGGGCCCCGCCAUACCCAUAGACGAGCAAAAGACUACACAAAAGUUAUGUACCAAAACGAAUGGGCUCCGGAACAGUGGAGCUCUCCCAAUCAGCAGAGUAGAUAUCCUAGGCGGGAGGAUCACCGAACUGCACGUCUACACCUGCGGGCAUGAAACGCAGCCCCCCGAGGAAAGGGGGGUCAGUACGGACAAUGUACUGAGUAUGUAAAGCAUAAGGUAAAGAUGACAGGAUACCAAUGUGGCAACUCGAAACAAAAUAUCGCUACACAUAUACUUUUUAAGUGAAAAUCAUGCAUAUAUUUAACAUUUAAGGUGCCCAGCUUCCCUAGUAAGGGGCUCGGCAAAAUAAUCAUCACGUCAUCUCCGUCAUCAUCAUCAUCAUAACCAUCCUCAUCACCAAUCAUAUAUAUAAUAUACAUACCCGGCCCUCUAGUGAGGAACUCGGUGACAUAUGCAAGAAACUCCGCACGAACAUUACCCGGCCUGGGACUCGGUGAAAUGAUAAAUGACUCUAUGCACGAGCAGAAUAUUAUGAGCAACCAUAUGCAAUUAAAAUCAUUUCUUAUAACUCAAUAGAACAAUCAACGUGAACCAGCAAGGAGUAUUACCAAAGAUUAAUGUUUUAUCAAGAUUAUGAACCUUUAAUACGAUAUGAAAACGUAAAAUUUCAAUGACUCUAAGAAGCAUUACCAUAGAUAUUAGAGAUCAUCAUAGCCUUAGACAUAACCGAUAUAUAGAGGAAUAAUUGUGGAAGCAAGAAUAUACAUCACCUAGACGCUUUAGAGGUAAGUAUCAAAUCUGUCCGUUAUUCGCUUAUUUUUAAAAGUCAUGCCAAGCAAAGAAAGAAGGGACAGCGUUACAUACCGUAUAAUCGAGCCGCAUGUCCAAUAUUUACUGCUCAAGCUAUUAAUCUAUAACAAGCAACAAUCGUGCCGCAAUUAGAUAAACAUCGUGCUUUACUUUCUUGUAAGCUAGCUAAUAAUCUAACGAAAAUUCGGCAGCACCUCCCCUAUUUUCCUUACUUCGUCCCAAUCCGACAACAAUCCAAAUUAUCCACAACAAUACCAAUAACACAUAUAACCCAAAGAAUCAUAUUAAACAGCCCCCUCCCCAAAACAGUUCAAUCUCGGCAACUAUAUCGGCGAAGCAACGACACACCGAGUGAUAACUCGUUUUAUAAUUCGUAACACAUCUACCUUAUCGUAUUCAUCCUUUGGAGUAUAUACUCAUAAUCACAUUCAACAUAUACAUAAUGCCAAAACAGAAUUUUCCUGCAGUUUGCUUUAAUCAAAACAGCCCAAGCACCAACACGACACCACUAAUAAUCCGAUUAUGGUUUCCAUUCAUACUUAGUACAUUCAAUAACUAAAACAAACUUCCUAAGCUACUGGUCACGCCCCCUUCUUAAAAUUAAUGGAUAAUUAACAAGGGUAUUCUAAAGAAUUAACACACCAAACAAGGAGAUUACUAACCAAAUUAUUUGCAGCUGCUGGCCAAGAGUUGCAGGGUUGGUUUCUCCAUUUCCAUGGCUGCCUAAGACAAGUGGUGAAGAAGAAGAUGAUAUGCAGCAAUGCAUUUCACCACUUUAUAUAGCAUGGAGUGGAUUUCUCCACCUCAUUUAAUAGUAUGAAGUGGAGGCAGCCCCCCUCUACACCUGUCCACUAAGGCCAGCCCACAAUCUGAUCCCUUUUUAAUUUUUUUGCCUUGAGUGGUGGGGCCCAUUGAAUUAAAUCAGUCCAAAUUAGCCACUAAUUAAUCCCUCACUUAAAUUUAAUGGCACUUACAUUAGCCAACUCAUACUUAAUAUCACAUUUGGAAAUAACAUCCUUGCCUAAUAUUUCUUUACGUCUUCUAGAUCACGAUGCGCACUACGUAUAUAAAAAAAAUACGAGGCAUAACAUCCUUCCCCCUUAGGAACAUUCGUCCUCGAAUGUUAAGUUAGCGUCUUGCAAAAACAAAUUCCAGCGAGGUCUCUCUAAAAGUUAUACCUAUCAACCUGCAUUCCGUAACUUACAGAUGCCUCACAGCUACAUAAUCUCAUUAUCUAUCAAUAUAGUCAAGCUAGGAAUUGAAUUACCUGCAGGUACGGGGAACAAGUAAGGAUACUUAUUUUUCAUUUCGUCUUCCGCUUCCCAAGUCAUCUCCUCCCUAUUGUUAUUUUGCCACAACACUUUGACGGAAGCCACAUCCUUAGUACGUAACCUUCUAACCUGACGAUCAAGUAUAGCCACGGGUUUCUCCUCAUAUGACAACUCCUCUGUUACCUGAAUAUCAUCUACAGGGAAUACUCUAGAAGGAUCACCAAUACAUUUACGUAGCAUCGAUACAUGGAAGACUGGAUGUACCGCCUCCAAAUCAGAUGGUAGAUCCAACUCAUAGGCAACCUUGCCUAUCCUACGAACAAUCUGAUAAGGCCCAAUGUAUCUCGGACUGAGCUUCCCCUUCCUGCCGAAUCUCAUCACACCCCUCAUGGGUGAUACCUUCAGGAAUACCCAGUCACCAAUCUGAAACUCCAAAUCUCGACGCCGAUUAUCUGCAUAUGACUUCUGUCGACUCUGGGCUGCUAAUAAUCUUUCUUGAAUAAGCUUCACCUUGUCAACAGCUUGCUGAAUCACAUCCGGGCCUAUUAACUUAGUCUCGCCAACAUCAAACCAACCAAUAGGUGAUCUGCACUUCCUCCCAUAUAAGGCCUCGUACGGUGCCAUUUGGAUACUAGAAUGGUAGCUAUUAUUAUAGGCAAACUCAAUGAGCGGCAAGUGGUCAUCCCAGCUACCUUUGAAGUCAAUAAUACAGGCCCGCAACAUAUCUUCUAGUGUCUGAAUAGUACGCUCAGCCUGCCCAUCAGUCUGAGGGUGAAAUGCUGUGCUAAGGUUCACCUGUGUCCCCAAUCCCUUCUGAAACGAUCUCCAAAAGUUGGCUGUAAAUUGAGCUCCUCUGUCUGAUAUAAUGGACGUGGGAACCCCAUGAAGUCUCACUAUCUCCCUGACAUAUAACCUCGCAUAAUCUUCAGCCGAAUAAGUAGUCCUGACUGGAAGAAAAUGGGCCGAUUUCGUCAGCCUAUCUACAAUAACCCAUAUAGAGUCAUACUUCCGUUGAGUGCGAGGUAAGCCUGUAAUGAAGUCCAUAUUAAUCAUCUCCCAUUUCCAAGUCGGGAUCUCUAUCUCCUGUAAUAAUCCACCAGGCUUUUGAUGUUCGAUCUUGACUUGUUGACAAUUUGGGCACUGAGCAACAAACUCUGCUAUGUCCUUUUUCAUGCCAUCCCACCAAUAUAAGCAUCUGAGGUCAUGAUACAUUUUUGUUGACCCUGGGUGAAUAGAAUAACGGGCAGAGUGUGCCUCUCCCAUAACUUGCCGUCGUAGCCCCGCAGUAUCGGGUACACACAAUCUGCCUUCAUAUCGUAACACUCCAUCAGGUGUAACCUUAAAUGGGGUCUUUUCCUUUUGAAGAGCUGCAUCUCUAUACUGUGCCAGAAUAGGGUCCUUGUAUUGGUGUCUCUUUACCUCAUCUAUGAUUGAGGACUCAGCAACCUCUCGAAUAGAAACUCCACUAUCUUCCGAAUUAGCUAGACGGACUCCAAGGCUGGAUAGCCGCUGAAUCUCCCGAACCAUAUCCCUCCCUUCUGGUUGUACAUCUGUCAAGCUACCCAUGGACUUACGGCUAAGAGCAUCUGCUACAACAUUCGCUUUCCCUGGAUGAUAUAAAAUAUCAACAUCAUAAUCCUUUAGCAACUCUAACCACCGCCUCUGUCGUAAGUUCAGCUCCUUCUGUUUAAAGAUAUAUUGGAGACUCUUAUGAUCUGUAUAGAUGUCCACAUGGACACCAUAUAAAUAAUGUCUCCAUAUCUUCAAGGCAUGAACCACGACCGCUAACUCCAGAUCGUGAGUAGGAUAGUUCUUUUCAUGCUUCCUAAGUUGUCGGGAGGCAUAGGCUAUAACUUUGCCAUGCUGCAUCAAUACACAUCCUAGCCCAACACCCGAAGCAUCACAAUAAAUAACAUAGCCGUCUGGUCCCUCUGGAAGAGUUAGGACUGGAGCUGUAGUCAAUUUGUCUUUUAAUAGCUGGAAGCUUCGCUCACAAGCAUCUGUCCACUGGAACUUGGCUGCCUUUUGAGUUAGCCUUGUCAAAGGCACUGAAAUUGAGGCAAACUUUUCUACGAAUCUCCUGUAAUAUCCUGCUAACCCCAAAAAGCUGCGUACCUCAGUAGGUGUCGUAGGUCUGGGCCAAGUCUUUACUGCCUCAAUCUUCUGCGUAUCUACCCGAAUACCAUCAGCUCCAAUAAUAUGCCCCAAGAAUGCCACUGAAGUCAACCAGAACUCGCACUUAGAAAAUUUAGCAUACAACUUCUGGUGCUGAAGCACCCUAAGUACCGUCCUUAAAUGAUCUGCAUGCUCCUCUUCUGAACGUGAAUAGACCAGAAUAUCGUCUAUAAAUACAAUAACAAACAUAUCAAGGAAUGGUUUAAAUACUCGAUUCAUUAAAUCCAUGAAUACCGCUGGAGCAUUAGUCAGCCCAAAAGACAGCACUCUAAACUCAUAAUGCCCAUAUCGGGUCCGGAAUGCUGUCUUUGGAAUAUCUGCCUCCCUUACCCGCACCUGAUGAUAACCUGACCGCAAGUCUAUCUUUGAAAAACACUUUGCACCCUGCAACUGGUCAAAUAGAUCGUCAAUCCUUGGGAGGGGAUACCUGUUCUUUAUUGUUACUUUGUUCAACUGCCUAUAAUCAAUGCACAUCCGCAGCGACCCAUCCUUCUUCCUCACAAACAGUACUGGUGCUCCCCAAGGUGACGUACUAGGCCUGAUGAAGCCCUUUUCUAGCAAAUCCCUCAAUUGCUCUUUCAAUUCUUUCAACUCAGCAGGUGCCAUUCUAUAAGGAGGUAUAGAUAUAGGCUGGGUAUCUGGCAGUACAUCUAUAGUAAACUCUAUCUCCCGUUCUGGAGGAAGGCCUGGAAGUUCCUCGGGGAAUACAUCAGGAAAUUCAUUAACUACCGGGACUGAUUGAAGAGUCGGUGCCUCUGCCUUUAUGUCAUGCACCCGAAUCAGAUG